Molecule: ribosomal RNA, 104 nt
Filed under: Pogona vitticeps (central bearded dragon)
Lineage: Eukaryota; Metazoa; Chordata; Lepidosauria; Squamata; Agamidae
Source: RNAcentral
CCUGGUACAUACCGCUGUCCUCUCUGUUCAGAAGCUAAGCAGGGUCUGACCUGGUUGCUAUUUGUAUGGGAGACCACCAGGAAAUCCUCCAGGAUCUUCCAGUU